CAACCUAGGAAACAGAGGAAUAUUUGAAUAAGCACUUCAGAGGUUUUUCUUUUCAGCCCAGGAGGUAAGAACCGCACACCCCCACUGGUUGUCCUUAUACCCGAAUCUCGGGACGAGAUUCUUUUUCAGGGGGGUAGGCUGUAACGACUUAGGUUUAAAUCAGCCGAGUUUAAUCUUAAGACAAACCCCUAAUCUAGUUGACUCAGUCUUCUUGAGCUAUAUCAGCUAAAGUCCGAUUUUCAGCCCAAGCUAGCGCCUUAGGGAGGGUUUAUCUUUGGAAAGUUGAGCAGGACGCUAAGAAAUUCCUUUAUGGAAGUUGGAGAACGAAGUCCCUGCUACGACUUUGUUAGUUGGACCUUAAUCCACUUCAUCUCUGAAAGCUCCCAAAUCUGCAGUUCCAAUCAGCC
This 407-nucleotide long non-coding RNA is filed under the name Setaria viridis. RNAcentral's name for it is "long non-coding RNA (SVIR_LNC001724)". The record is from RNAcentral. Lineage: Eukaryota; Viridiplantae; Streptophyta; Magnoliopsida; Poales; Poaceae.